UGUCAAGGGAUGGGAAUCGAACCCACGACCUUCUGCUUCCCGGGCAGAUGCCAUGACCACUAGGCUACCCUGGAC
Molecule: transfer RNA, 75 nt
Filed under: Cordylochernes scorpioides
Lineage: Eukaryota; Metazoa; Arthropoda; Arachnida; Pseudoscorpiones; Chernetidae
Description: tRNA-Pro
Source: RNAcentral